This 554-nucleotide ribosomal RNA is filed under the name Alternaria alternata. RNAcentral describes it as "eukaryotic LSU rRNA". The stretch from base 200 to 353 matches the Rfam family "5.8S ribosomal RNA". The record is from RNAcentral. Lineage: Eukaryota; Fungi; Ascomycota; Dothideomycetes; Pleosporales; Pleosporaceae.
UAGGAUCUCGUAGGUGACCUGCGGAGGGACAUUACACAAAUAUGAAGGCGGGCUGGAACCUCUCGGGGUUACAGCCUUGCUGAAUUAUUCACCCUUGUCUUUUGCGUACUUCUUGUUUCCUUGGUGGGUUCGCCCACCACUAGGACAAACAUAAACCUUUUGUAAUUGCAAUCAGCGUCAGUAACAAAUUAAUAAUUACAACUUUCAACAACGGAUCUCUUGGUUCUGGCAUCGAUGAAGAACGCAGCGAAAUGCGAUAAGUAGUGUGAAUUGCAGAAUUCAGUGAAUCAUCGAAUCUUUGAACGCACAUUGCGCCCUUUGGUAUUCCAAAGGGCAUGCCUGUUCGAGCGUCAUUUGUACCCUCAAGCUUUGCUUGGUGUUGGGCGUCUUGUCUCUAGCUUUGCUGGAGACUCGCCUUAAAGUAAUUGGCAGCCGGCCUACUGGUUUCGGAGCGCAGCACAAGUCGCACUCUCUAUCAGCAAAGGUCUAGCAUCCAUUAAGCCUUUUUUUCAACUUUUGACCUCGGAUCAGGUAGGGAUACCCGCUGAACUUAA